This 4575-nucleotide long non-coding RNA is filed under the name Homo sapiens (human). RNAcentral's name for it is "HSALNT0043462". Lineage: Eukaryota; Metazoa; Chordata; Mammalia; Primates; Hominidae. The record is from RNAcentral.
ACUUAAUGCUAGAUGACCAGUUAGUGGGUGCAGCGCACCAGCAAUGUCACAUGUAUACAUAUGUAAUUAACCUGCACAAUGUGCACAUGUACCCUAAAACUUAAAGUAUAAAAAAUAAAAAUAAAAAAAUAAAAAAAUAAAAAAAGAAUGUAAAAUAUAGACAUUUGACAUUGUUAAGUUUCUAGUCAUAAUUUUAGAAUGUACAAUUUUUCAACUAUGUGUCUUCUUAUAUUAUGGAAUUCUGUCUAUUGCUGUUGAAAUCUUAGCCUCUUAUUUAAUAUUGUUAUUAUUUUUUGUAGUGAACUACAUUUUUCUUCUUAAAACCUAGGGCUGCCAGAUAUGGUAAUAAGUCAUUCAAUAAUAAAAAUGGUAUUUUGUAAAAAAAGAGUUCUCAUUCAAAUUCUCAGAACUCAGAUAAUUUACUCUGCUUUUAUAAAAGCUCACAGUCUUAUGAUUAAAUGAAAUGAACAUAAUAAAAAUACAACAAAAACCUAAGAUAAAGAAUCUAGUUAACUUUUAGAGUUAUUAUAGAAACAUAUCAUUUUAUAUGUUCCUUUUCAAUGAAAGUAAAUUUCGUAGAAAUAUUUAAUUCAAGUCUCUCCCCAAAGCCCAACAUUUUUGUGUGCAUGAAAAUAAUGAAAAUAAUUCUGAAAACUUGUAGAUUAAUUAGGUAAAUUUCUUUUGGAAAAGUUUAUGUUGAGUUUUCCAAAAUGCUAAGCUGCUAUAGCAAGAGACCUAAUACUAAGAUAGCUUAAAAAACAAAAAAUGUUUAUUUCUCUCAUACAUAAUAGUUCCAAGGUGAGAGAUUCAGGUGGAUGGGGCAGAUCUGUCCACUUCAUCAGGGACUUGACUGACAGUAGCCCUGCCAUCUGCAUCAGGUAGUUCUGCACAGAGUUUCCCAAUUCUGGUCACUGGAAGGAAGUUAGGAGCUUUGAAGAAGGGUGAGGAGCAGAAGUCCAGAGCCAAGAAUGCCCUCUUAAGCAUGUGAUUUGAAAAUUGCUCUCAUCAGCUCUGCUCAUUGGUGUCAGUCUGGUCACAUGGCCACAUCUAUUUGCAAGAGAAGCUGAGAAAUGUAACCUAGCUCCAUGCUCAGGAAGAAAAGAAGGGAAACUGUUGGUGGACUGCUAGCCAUUUCCCCCACAGCCCCAAAAGGCUUCCCAUUGCAGUUGUAAACUAGGGUAUUUAGCCCUUUGUUCUAAAUAUUCAUAACUUUCCAAGUAAUUGCAGAGGAAAUACAAAAUAUUUCUAGAAUAAUAUUUAAGCUAUCUUUAAAAAUCGGUGUAAUCUGCAGCAUAAGAAGAUUUCAAGAUGAAAAACUCCCAUUUUAAUUGAGGUUUUGUCAAUUUAAUUAAUUCUUUCAAUAUGUUUUGUUAUUCUUGAUAUUUGUACCCCAACUCUAGUUAAUAUAUUAUUUCUCUUUAGUUUGCCCUUUUGAGAUAUAUGUAAGGCUUUUCCACCCAAGCCAAUUCUUAGCUAAAGAAUUGAAUACUUUUUAACUUCUAUAUUACAGUUGUGAUUUCAAGGUUUGUACUUCCUUAAUGUAAAUCUAGGGAAAUUGAAAAAUAAAGCACCCCACUUCCAGUUUCUACAUUUAUACCACAUCUGUUAUCUUACUUAUAGAUAUAAUAUCCAACUCCUUGAGGUUAUUAUGUUUAUAAUGAACUGGUUUAUGUUUUCAUUCCAGAUGUGUAAAUAGUAGCAUUUGAUUAGUUAAGUUUAAAAUUGAAUUUUAAAAUUGUUUAGAAGACUUGUGUUGUUUUAUUGUAUAAUCGCCUAUGAUUUCUAUAGCUUUAUUUUAAAGUUGGUGAGUAAAAAAGGUAGAUGCUAGAUAUUGAUGACCAGUAAUAAAGGUUCAUAUAUUUCAUUGUCUGGGAAUACAUUAAAAACUGAGUAAUGGGCCUUGGUAUCUAUUUUUUUAAAUUUCUACAUCGAGAUUUUUGUAUAACACACACACACGUGUAUGCAUAUGUAUAUAUUUUUCAUUUUAAUGUAUUUCAUCUAAAUGUAAAAUCUCCCCACUUGCAGAAAAGUUUUCCAUUAUUAAAAGAGCAGUCCUUUAUGUAUUGAGAUGAUGCCACUAUGCACGGUGAUUAAAAAUUUCAUUUUGACCUGUUUCUUGUUGGUGGAGACAGCUUUGUACUGAGUUCUUCUCACUCUUUCCCACAGUCCCUGGCACAGAACAGCCAUUCACCAGAUGCCAAGUUUGACUUGGGCACAGAGCAUGUGGUCAGAGGACAGGAUGUAAUUAACCCAUUCAUAUGGAACAAACCCAUGACCUAGGAGUCACACAGGGCAUGGAGCCAAACUGCUGCACACAAAAAAUCCUUCAGUAGUGUGAAUUUACACAGUGCUUCAAAUGUCUAUUUCUCUUCCUCAAAACUCUUACUAAUCUAUUAUAUCACUGUGGUCUCACAAAAGUCUUGAGAAGUAUGAAGAGAGAAGCAUGACCAGAUCUAUUUUUCUUACAUUCUCCUUCCUUCCUUCCUUCCCUCCUUCCUUCCUUCCCUCCUUCCCCCCUUCCUUCUUCCAUCUUCCUUCUAUCCAUCUUUUCAAAUUCCUCCCCUUUUUCUUAUUCACAGGUAGAGAAAUUAAGGGGGCAGAGGUGUUUGAGUAAAAUGUUAGUAAGAAUUCAGAUCUAUUAGCUGCAAACCCAGUGCAAUUGUUACCAUGUAAGGAUACAGAUGGAGACAGAGGAAAGUUUGUAUGUGUGUGUGUUUGUUGAGUGGAGGGAGUGAAGUAGUUCACAAAGACAGUCUUUCUACUUCAAGCUUUUCCUUGAUCAUCCAAACCUUUGCAUCUCGGAAGGCUCCCUAGGAGCUCUCUGGUUGCCCCCAGUGCUGCUUGGCACUGCUCCUUGAUCUGGCUUCCUCUUGACAAUUUCCACAGAUGAGAUGCUCACUAUCUCACAUGGCAGCACAUGCUAGUUGGGAUCAUUUAUGUGGUGAGAACAUAUAUUGGGUUAAAUUUUGCCUCCCUGUGACUUCCAUUCCCUAUGGGAAUACAUAAAGAAGUGGAACGUUUUCCUUGACAAGUUCUAGUCUAGAUAUCUGAUAACACCUCUUGUGACUUCCCCAAGCUUUUCCCCUCCAGGCAAGCAUCUCUGUUUCCUACAGCUUUGCCUCUUGAUGUUUAUGGUGUCUUCUUUCCCUGUCCAUCUUAAAAAGUACAGGGAACAGAGAGCCAGAUUCCAGCUCAGAGAACAGUGGGCAGGAACUCUCCCGGAGCUGAAAGGCCUGUAUAAGCAGAAAUUCCAAGAGUGGGCUCUGGGGACAGGCACUGCCGUCGUCAUCCUGACUCUGCCUCGGGAGAAGUUACCUACGCUUUCUCUACUUCAGUUUAUUAAUCUAUAAAACAAUGAUAACAGGAAUAAAUAAAAUCAUGCUCAUGAGUAAUUUAGAAAAGUGCCUGACACACAAGUCCAUGUGUUAGUUGCCAUUGCAUUUAUAUUUUUGGCAGCCAUGCUACACUGGUAGUUCAUUCAGAACUUUUAGUCAUAUAUGACCAGGGCCAGAACUACUAAAAACCAACGUCCCUUCUCUCUUAUAUACGUAUGUGCAGUGUGUAUGUUUUAUGUAUUAGAACCUAAAUGAUGGGACUCUAUCCCUGUUUAAAUUCAUCUGAUUUAUUUUAGCAUAUCCUCCAUCCUAUUAAGUUCCUUGAAUCUUGAUGAUGUCGUCCAACAUAGCAAGUAUCCCUUACAGUCUUUUUUUGUUCUUUAAAGGUUUGAUAGGUACAUCUUUUAUGACUUCAACCUAACCACAGAGAAAAUAAAAAGCCAAACAAGACUGGAACAAUUACAGAGCACUUUUGGUUUACAUUAUCAUCCUGCCUGAAUUUAUUUAUCUAGUCCAUAAUAGUACAAGCUAUUGAAUUUUGUGUUUGAAAUUAAGAUAUCCACUUUGCAAAGAUUCUGUAUUGACAACACUGAUUAUCCACAUAUUAACACAAAGAAAGGAGACUGGUUUGGCAUGACUUAUUUAUAAAGCAAAUUUUUGGUUUGCUCCUUCUUUCCUCCAUUCUCUUAGUUAUUAAUGAAUCAGAGGAAUAUGUGUGGCAUUGGCUAUAAUAUGCACAGUUACCACCAUGAUUUUGCUUGCAAACCUGACCAGAACUUACUUAUAAUUUCACUAUCUGAGGACCAAGUGAAAAUGUGUUUCUAGCUUAGCAGAAACUAAUCCACCGAUGGGUUUUACUUUAUAUGUAUAAACCAUAAAAAUACCCUUUUUGGUCCAAAAAGUCAAAAGAAAAUUACUUAUCACAGCAAUGUCACAGAAAAUUACUUAUUUCACAUUACAAAUAAGCAACCCCUCAACAAAUAAGCAAAAAAUAAAAGAAAUCCAACUAGAAGAGUAAGUCCAGAGACUCUUAGUUAUUUGCUUGGGGUAAUCCAGGAAGUGGAUAACAGAACCAGUAAAAAUCAGACUUACUCUCUGCCCAGUAUUUUUCCCUAUCCAAUGCUGUGUUGCUUUCCGCCCUUAUGCCUCUCAUGGGAGCACCGUAUCAGGUGAGAUUUUGACCACAGGCUUCACGGAGGUUCAUGUGAGGCUUCAUAUCUUUGACGUAAUCAACCUCUGA